UAGGGAAUUUUCCACAAUGGGCGAAAGCCUGAUGGAGCAACGCCGCGUGCAGGAUGAAGGCCCUCGGGUCGUAAACUGCUUUUGUUUGUGACGAUUAUGACAGUAGCAAACGAAUAAGGAUCGGCUAACUACGUGCCAGCAGCCGCGGUCAUACGUAGGAUCCGAGCGUUAUCCGGAAUCACUGGGCGUAAAGAGUUGCGUAGGUGGUUUGUUAAGCGAAUAGUGAAAUCUUGUGGCUCAACCAUAAGGCUAUUGUUCGAACUGACAGACUAGAGUUUGGUAGAGGUUAUUGGAAUUCCAAGUGUAGGAGUGAAAUCCGUAGAUAUUUGGAGGAACACCGAUGGCGUAGGCAGAUAACUGGACCAAUACUGACACUAAGGCACGAAAGCGUGGGGAGCGA
This 400-nucleotide ribosomal RNA is filed under the name uncultured bacterium. RNAcentral describes it as "bacterial SSU rRNA". It matches the Rfam family "Bacterial small subunit ribosomal RNA", at positions 355 to 771 of the family's 1533-position model. The record is from RNAcentral.